UUAUUUAAAUAAUAAUUUAUUAUAUAUUUAAAUAACAAGGGCAUAAGAGUCUUUUACCAUUUAAUGAAAAAUGUAUUUUUGAAAAUGUCUCCUUAGUGGUGUUAAAAAUAAAAAGUGGUACCAUGAAAGUGGUAAACAUGUAAUUUCUCCUUUAUUAUAUAUAUAGAUAACAAGGAUAUGAGAGUCUUUUGCCACUUAAUGAAAAAUGUAGUUUUGAAAAUGUUCCUUUAGUGAUGCUAAAGAUGAAAAGUGAUACCUUAAAAAUGGUAAACCUAAAAUUUCCCCAAAAAUAUUUAAUUUAGUCAUAUUUACCCUUUUUAAACAAUUAUUCUUUGAGAAAUAUUUGACAAAAACAUUUAAUGAUAAAAACAUAUUUUAAUUUGAAAAAUUAUAAUAAAUAUAUUGUUACAAAACAUUCAAAUUCACAAAACCGCGGGCAUCCACCUAGUAACAAAUUAAAAAAAAAUCAUUUAAAAUACAUUUGAAAAAGCAACAAAUAAAAAAAUCGAAAAAGACACAUGUCACUCACACAGACUGUUGCUAACUGACUUAUGUUUUAUAGUGUGAAGGAUGUUUUAUAACUCAUCUUUUUUUUCUACUGUAAAUGAUAAUUUUAAUAAGAGUAAUUCCUCACCAAUCAAAUUUUAUGAAUGAAAAAUAUGUGAUUAGUUUUCUUUCUCGGAAGUGUAACCCAAUAAAUUGAAAUUGCCAAAUUGACAUGAAAAAAUGACGCCGGUUAAUAUUUAGCCAGCGUGGAAAAAGAACCGGCUCGGUUUAUGUUGGUAUCGUAAGAAUCCAAGACCGGUUCGAUUACAAAAUCCACCGACUCAAAAUUAAAAUAUAACUGUUAGGAGAAACGCGUGUUUAUCAAAGCACUUCGUGCUUUCCUUUUUUCCCCCAAGAAUGUGCUCGAUCGAAGUCGACUCUAUAUAACCAUUAGGAGACGCGAGUUCUCAAACGAAACCUUUUUUUUUUGGUCUCCUUAUGUUUCUUCGAAUAGUUUUAUCGAUCAUCUCUUCCAGAAACAGAGAGCCCUCUACGUUAACAGAUAUGUAAGUGUUUCGAUCGCUGUAAAUCGUGAAUUUGUAUCAAGAUUUCUAAGUUGCCCAUGAAAUUUUUGAUUUGCGAUUCGGUUUCUAAGGCUUCAAAGUUUGUCUAAUCGGUUAAUUUGAUCUAUUGAUCUUGCUCAGAGUUUCUUUUUCUCGUUAGUCUAUUUUAGGGUUUCUAAGUUUCGUGUAAAUACUUUUGCGAUUUACUUUUAAGUUUUUUUCGUUGGCUAGAGUUUAAGUUUUAUUCUCCGUCUAUGCUAGAGUUUCCCGUUUUGUCUUGAAGCUUUAUUUUGGUUUUCGUUUUGAGAUUCUUUCUUUCUUUCAUGUUUCGGGGAUUUUGAUCAAGCUUUGUUUUUUUUGGUUUUGUUUUGAUUUUUUUUCACUUGAAACCCAAAAAAGAUCAUAGGCAGACACUAAUCUAAUAGUGUUCUGCCAGAUUCUUAUUUGGGGACAAUGUCCCGUUGCUGCCUCUAUAAGACCAUCCCCUAGCACGAUUGUUAACUGGGAUAAUAUGGGUUUGGUAGUGCAUUGUAUCAGGGGAUGGCAAAAUAAGAUCCACUCGGCUCUAUAGUCUUUGAGAAAAAAGACUUUACUUACCCACGGCUUGGUUCAAAUAUGUUUUCAGUUCUUUGUAUGGUUUGAUAAAGUCUUAAGACAAAGACUUAAGAACUGAAAACAGAUUCUUGAAGGAUGUUAGGGGUGGCUAAUAAGACCCACUCGGCUCUAUAAUAUUGUCUUUAAGGCAAAAGACUUUACUUACCCACGGCUUGGUUCAAAUAUGUUUUCAGUUCUUUGAAUGUGAUGGUUUGAGAAAGUCUUAAGACAAAGACUUAAGAACUGAAAACAGAUUCUUGACUUACCCACGGCUUAUAAAAAUAGACAAUGGAUCAGCUCUAUAGUCUUCAAGACAAAAGUCUUCACUACCCGAGGCUUGGUUCAAAUCGGUUUUCAGUUCUUUGAAUUGGAUGGAUUUUAACGACCAACGGUUUGAGAAAGUCUUAAGACAAAGACUUUAAGAACUGAAAACAGAUUCUUGACUGUAUUACCCACGGCUUAUAAAAGUUGACAGUUGAUCGGUCAAAAGACUUUUUGGAUGGAAACAUUAUAGGAAAUACAAUGACAAUGGGGGCAGUUUUAAGGCUGGAUGAAUAUUAACGACCAGUGGCUUAGAACAUAUCAUUACGGGUUGGCAAAUAACACCAUACGACUCUAUUGUCUUAAAGACAAAAACACUUUUACUUACCCACGGCUUGACUCAAAAUAAUCUGUUUUCAGAUGUUAGAAGAGAAUGGAUUCAAAGACCCAACGGUUUGAGAAAGUCUUAAAGACAAAAAGACUAAAAACUGAAAGCAGAUUCUUGAUUGUACCCACGGCUUAUAAAUUCUCUGUCUUUGACAUAUUCAAUGACAAUGUGACAGUUUGGAGGCUUCCCCGAUUCUAAGAACGAUUCAUUGGACGAUGGCAAACAAAACACAUGACUCAAGAGUCUUAAAGACAAAAGACUAUACUAAAGACCUACAGCUAGACUCUCAAAAUCUGUUUUCAGAUAUAAGAAGGGAAUGGAGUUAAAAAAUUAACGGUUUGAGAAAGUCUUAAAGGUCCACACGGUUCAAUAGUCUUAAAACAAAAGACCCACUCAAAAUCUGCUUUCAGAUAUUAGAAGGGAACCGAGUUAAAAGACCAAAAAGUGAGAAAAAUCUGCAAACUGAAAACAGAUUCUUUACUGUACUGCCCACGGCUUAUAAAAUCUUUAGAGAAAGCAGGCAUCUGUUAGAAGGCCAGACAGAUUCAGUGACAAUGAGCAGUUUGGAGGUUUACUUGAUGGAAUAAACAAAAGCUUCUUAGAACAAGUGAUUGGAGGCAAACAAACCCACACGACUUAAAAGUCACUAGACCCACGGCUUUACAAAAGUAGACGAUUGAUCGGUUAAAAGACUUGUUGGUGUAUGGAAACAUGAUAGGGGCAGUUUCACGACUGGACCAGCUUCUUGGAACAAGUCAUUAGGAGAUGGUCUUUAAGACAAGAAUUUACUUACCCACGGCUUGACUCAAAUAUGUUUUCAGUUGCUUGAAUGAGAUGGAGUUUAACGACAGUCGAUUUAAGAAAGUCUUAAGACAAAGACUUUAAACUGAAAACAGAUUCUUGAAAGUUAGUACUUACUUACCCACGUCUUAUAAGUCUAUAGACAAAGACACCUAUCGGUUAAGAUUCUUUAGACAGAUUCAGUGACAAUGGGGGAGUUUGGAAGCUUGUUCUGUGGGAACAAACAAAUAGCUUCUUAGAACAAGUCACUGAAGGAUGGCUAAUAAGACCCACACGGCUCUGUAGUCUUUAAGACAAAAGAGUUAACCCAUGGCUUGACUCGACUCAGAUCUGUUUUUCAGUUACUUGAAUGAGGUGGAGUUUGACGACAAGAAACAAAGACGACAAACUGAAAACAGAUUUUUUACUGAACUAUCCACGGCUUAUAAAAUCUCUAGAGAAAGACAAUAUCGGUUAAAAAUCUUUAGACAGAUUCAAUGAUAUGGGGACCGUUUUGACGGUUCUCUGUAGUCUUUAAGAUAGAAGACUUUACUAUACCCACGGCUUGACAAAAAAUUUGUUUUCAGUUAUUAAAAGAUCAAUGGUUUGAGAAAGUCUUAAGACAAAGGCUUCAAACUGGAAACAGAUUCUUGAAUGUAAGUACUUACCCACGGCUUAUAUAGCCCUAUAGGUGUUCAGCUUUCAGCUUGUUGGAAGGAACAGACAACCAAAGACAAAGAUACAAUUGUUUCUCUACCACAAGGCUUAUAAGUGGGGUUUUGUUGGAUGAAAAAAAAAAAAGAGAACAACCAACAAAACUUCAAAAUAUUACGCAUUAAAUGUGAUUCUUACUGUAUCACUUAUGUCAUGAAGACAGACUAAUUCAUGAUCUGGGAGGUAACCAAGGGGCAUACUACUUUAUCUAAAGACUAAUUACUUUUUGAUUUCCUCAGGUUUGUGCUUCAAAAGGUGUUCAAAUCGUUAGAGAUUCUGAGGACAUUCCACGUGUAUCAGACUUCUGCAACAGUGGAACCUACAAAACGUGGAACUUGCUAUAGUCAUUAUUAUUCGGUUUUGGUAAACAAGCUUCGACAUAUACGAGAAGAAAAACAGCUCCAGUUUCAGUGAUAGCAAAAACCUGGUUCCAUGUAUCUGAAAAAUACACACAUUAAAUUUCUUUUGAUGCAUAGUGCUUAGAAUCCAUGGUCUGCAUGAUUUUUUAUGAUAUGUAACCUCGAUAAACCAUGAAGAACAAAAAACUGAUUUGUGUAUCCGAUUUGAAUUGCUUAUAUAUCUUUUUGUAAAGCUACAGUUGAUCGAAUGAUUUACAGAAUGUUCUCUCUGCUAUAUAAUAAAGAUGAACCAACAAAAACACAACAUGAUUUGUCAGUACGAGAUGAAUUUCUUAUAUAGUUUUGUAAAACAACAUAUAUAUAUAUAUAUUACAUUGUAUAUUAUCAUAUAAUUAUUACACAUUUAUUAGUUUUAUAAAGCAACAUUUGAUUCAAUGUUUUUAUUCCAAAUAUUUAUAUAUAUUAAAUUUUAUGAAAACCAUAUUAUAAUGUUAAGCAUAGAACAAAAAUUCAAGAUCAAAACUAUAUGUUCGGUCAGUUCAAAAAAAAAAACUAUAUGUUCGUUAGAUAGACUUUUUUUAACCUAUCUCAAUGGGUUUAUAGUUUGGCUUUGAUUUAGCCAAGGAUUUUAGGUAGCGAAUAUAUAUAUAUAUAUAUAUUACUUCAUCACAAAAGAUAAAUAUGAAAUAUAUAAGAGAUAUACUCCUUCCAUUCUUUAAUAAUAGACUUUCUAGAAAAAACGUUUGUUUCAGAAAGAUGUAUUUUUUGUGUUUUCUAUGAAAAAAUUGUAAACUUCAAGAAAAUUAAUUGACUUUAUUGAAUUGCUAUUGGUUAAAAGUUACUGAAAAUUAAAAAUUACAGAAACUGAUACAUUUAUUAUGGUAGUUUAAUGUGUUUUCUUAAUAUGUGUGAAAAUACUAAAAAAUCUAUCUUUUAGGAACAGAGGGAGUACUAAAUUUCAUAGAUAUUUGAAAAAAGUACGAACGUUAGCUCCAAUAUUUAUUAGUAAGGAAUGAACAUAAACUGGUGAUCCAAAAGUAGUUAUUGUUUUAAUAAAUGGUGAUGCAAAAGUAUAUAUAUUGGUCUACGGUCAGUUACGAUAUUGAAUAUUAAUUGUUUUCCAUAGUUAGGAACGAUAAUAUAAUACUUAUCCAAUUUGCUUAACAUUUCUUGCGUGAAUGUUGGGAAAUCUAGCAAUGAAACAUAUUUACACAAUAUUUGUUUAUAUUCAAUUAACGUGUCCCUAUACCUUAAGUUUGAGGACUAUAGGGGCGACUGGUUUUCUCGCUAUCACCCGCAAACGCAGUUUUUCCGGUUGGUAACGGUUGUUGGUGGUUUGCAACAAUCACUCAAAUCGCUCUAAACCAUUUCAAACCGUUCCGAAUCUCAUAAAUUCAAAAGCUGACUCCAGGUAGCGUUUGCGGUUGCGGACGGUUGCAGGAGGGUAAAUUUUUUUACUUUUUUUUAAAACAAUAUAUAUACAAAAGUAAAAAUAUUUAAUAAAAAUUUUAAAAUUGAAAUUAUGAAAAGGGCAAUUGUCAAUAAUAGCACCUUUUGAGUGUUUGUCUCAAAAAUGGUACUAGAAGGAGAAAUUCACAAAAAUGACAUUCAUUAAAGGAUAAAAUAUCCUUAAUACCUUUGGUUUAAAAUUAAAUAAACAAACAAAAAUAAAUAACAACAAAUAAAAUAAAACAAAAAAAUGAAAAAAAAAAUUUUAUAUGUUUUCAGAUUCAAAAUUUUUUAUAAUUUUUUUCUGAAAUUUUUUUUAUUUUUUUUUCAAAUUUUUUUUUUUAAUUCGAAAAUACUUUUUGAAACCGUUUUUAAUUUUUUAAUUUUUUAGUAUUUAUUUUUUAUUUUAUAAAAUUUUAAACCCUAAUUCCAAAACUCCACCCCUUAACUCUAAACCCUAAGGUUUGGAUUAAUUAACCCAAGGGGUAUAAGUGUAUAUUUACCUCUUUUAUGAAACCUAUUUUUGUGACUUUGAGCCUUGAGUGCUAGUUUGGGAACAAAAACUUGGUUUGGUGAUAUCCUAGUAUUUUUCUC
Molecule: long non-coding RNA, 6188 nt
Organism: Brassica rapa (field mustard)
Lineage: Eukaryota; Viridiplantae; Streptophyta; Magnoliopsida; Brassicales; Brassicaceae
Source: RefSeq, a predicted model, not a curated record